GGGCGUGUGGUCUAGUGGUAUGAUUCUCGCUUUGGGAUGUGAGAGGCCCUGGGUUCAAUUCCCAGCUCGCCCC
Eremothecium cymbalariae DBVPG#7215 is the source of this 73-nucleotide non-coding RNA. Lineage: Eukaryota; Fungi; Ascomycota; Saccharomycetes; Saccharomycetales; Saccharomycetaceae. The record is from the annotation of a RefSeq genome assembly.